RNAcentral lists this long non-coding RNA (2264 nucleotides) under Homo sapiens (human). RNAcentral's name for it is "HSALNT0290820". The record is from RNAcentral. Lineage: Eukaryota; Metazoa; Chordata; Mammalia; Primates; Hominidae.
CGCAGCCCAGGAUCCCUUGCGCCCUGCGGUAGCCCGGGGCUGCCCAGGGCUGCGGGCUCCAGGCACCCAGAGCGCUGCGACCACAUGAAAGGCCCGGCGCUCAGCACCCGCCAGCCACCUCCAGCUGGUUUCUAACUACACCGCCGGGGCCUCCAUGCUUCUCAGAGACCAGCCUUCGAAGUGCCGCCUUACACCCGGGGCCUGGCCACCGGGCGGGCGCGGAUGGAGCUCUGGUCCACAUUUGGGAGCUCACAGUUGUUCCUGCCAGAUGUGGAAGCUGAGACUUAAAGAAGCUAUGAAACUUGAUCAGGUCAUGCAGCGCCAGAGGACCCAAGGUGGGAUCUCAACCCAGACUGUUUGGCUCCAAAGCUGAACUGCUACAUUACGUUGCUUCAGCAAACAGUCAUUCAGCAAAUACAGGCUCCAGCUGCAGCCACUUUGAAGAUAAAGUUUCCUCCAUAGAAAUUCUGCAAUACAGAUGUCCUUCCGCGGUCCCAGUUCAGUCCUGCACCAGUUCCUUUUCCCACUGGGAAAUUUCUUUCCUCUUCCUACUUCCAUGCAACUGCGAGGCAAGGCUCAAGCCCACUUCCUUCUCCUUUUCCUGUGCCUCCCUGUGGAGGGAGCUCCCUCUUCUUCACAGCUCCAGGCUCUUCCCUACUCUGGCCCAACCUUAUGGGCAUUUUGCUCCAUAACUCUCCUCGAUCUGAACUGCUUCUGAUUUCUCUCAAGUCAUGUCGGGGAAUCUCACAAAUGCAUUCUGAGAAAUACAAGAAUGCCUGAGAUGUUCCCGGCAGAAAAGAUUCCAGGAUCAAAACAUUUGGGAAAAGCUUCACAUCUCUCCUUAGAAAUGAACAAGGCAUAGUCAUCAAGCAUCUGAAAAGUCCUGCAGUCAGGAAACCUACCUUGUUUGUUUUUUAACCCAGUAUUUCUCAAACUAAGAUGGCCAUGAUUUCAUCUCCUCCAUCCCCACUGACUCCUAUAACAACCUGUAGAACCAGUGAUCCACUGUGGAACACACUUUGGGAAACACUGUCCCCAGCCCUCCAAGAAGGCAUAGAGUUGACCUUGCCUUCAUUGAUUUAAACCCUUCCUGUUUCUCUGGGCUAUUUACUUAUUAUCUCACAUACAAAAUAAUCUAAGGUGAUGUCUGCCCAAUUGGGUUUUUAGGAAAGACAUACCCAAUGGGAAUGAAGAUUUUCUUAGCAGGAUUUGAUGAGCCCAUUACUAGAAAAAAAAUCAAGGAUUUCCCAGACUUUCAGGGUGAGGAGAGAAUUUGAUACAAGCAGCAGAGGCUGGGCGUAGUGACCCAUGCCUAGCACUUUGGUAGGCCAAGGAGGGAGGAUUGCUUGAACCCAGGAAUCCAAGACCAGCCUGGGCAACAUAGUAAGAUCCCAUCUCAAUUUUUUAAAGAAGGAUUUAUCAAACUUGUUUCCUAGUCAACGGAUAAAGCCAGAGAGGUAAUGGCCAGAAACCCAAAAUCUAGAGAGUACCAGAUAAAUACUUUUUGGGUGAAUGAAUGAAUGAGCAGGCUAUUGAUCACAAAGUUGGCAGACAUUGUGAAUGAAUGGAUGAAUUAAUAAACAAUCAAAUAACUGGUCUCCAGGCCUCCAGACUUUCUGAACUUCAUUGUAUCUACCUGCUGUGGCCACAUAUAUAUCUCCUCAAAACCCAGAUCUCAUCAGUCCACUCUUCUGUUCCCUGGCUGGCUCCCUGUUGCCUUCAGGAUAAAGUCUACAUGCCUUUGUCCUGGCAUUGAAAACUCUGCAAAACAAAGCUCCAACCUAGCUUUCCAUCCUUCUUUCUCUUCCCCAUUGGGUACCCCUUACUCUAGUCACACCAGUCCCCAAUUCACUUUAUCCGUCUCCUUUUCUUUCUCAAGCUAUUCUCUAUACCUCACCUUUUCUCCCCUGCCUCCAUUGUUGCUUAUUCAACCCUAGCAGUGCUUUCAGGCUCAGCUCAAACCUUAUCACCCAUGUUAAAUGAAAGAAGCCAGACACAAGAAGGGGACAUUCUGAAUGAUUCCAUUUAUAUGAAGGUUAAGAACAGGCAAAACUAUUGUGGGGAAAAAACAGAACUGUGGUUGCCUUUGGGGAGUGAGGAUUGAUUAGAAGGGGUUUUGGGGGUAUGAAAAUGUUCUUGAUCUUCAUUCCAGUGGUAAUUUCAUGGGUGAAUACAUUUGCCAAAAUUCACUGAAUUGUACACUAAAGAUCUGCAUUUCUCUGUAUUGUCAAUUUAAUCUAAAAAUAAAAAUCUUACCACCCAGA